UGGGAACAUGGUGGCAUGAGGUAAUC
RNAcentral lists this non-coding RNA (26 nucleotides) under Rattus norvegicus (Norway rat). Lineage: Eukaryota; Metazoa; Chordata; Mammalia; Rodentia; Muridae. The record is from RNAcentral.